This 2786-nucleotide ribosomal RNA is filed under the name metagenome. RNAcentral describes it as "bacterial LSU rRNA". It matches the Rfam family "Bacterial large subunit ribosomal RNA". The record is from RNAcentral.
AGCGUACACGGUGGAUGCCCUGGCAGUCAGAGGCGAUGAAGGACGUGCUAAUCUGCGAUAAGCGUCGGUAAGGUGAUAUGAACCGUUAUAACCGGCGAUUUCCGAAUGGGGAAACCCAGUGUGUUUCGACACACUAUCAUUAACUGAAUCCAUAGGUUAAUGAGGCGAACCGGGGGAACUGAAACAUCUAAGUACCCCGAGGAAAAGAAAUCAACCGAGAUUCCCCCAGUAGCGGCGAGCGAACGGGGAGCAGCCCAGAGCCUGAAUCAGUAUGUGUGUUAGUGGAAGCGUCUGGAAAGGCGCGCGAUACAGGGUGACAGCCCCGUACACAAAAAUGCACAUGCUGUGAGCUCGAUGAGUAGGGCGGGACACGUGGUAUCCUGUCUGAAUAUGGGGGGACCAUCCUCCAAGGCUAAAUACUCCUGACUGACCGAUAGUGAACCAGUACCGUGAGGGAAAGGCGAAAAGAACCCCGGCGAGGGGAGUGAAAAAGAACCUGAAACCGUGUACGUACAAGCAGUGGGAGCACGCUUAGGCGUGUGACUGCGUACCUUUUGUAUAAUGGGUCAGCGACUUAUAUUCUGUAGCAAGGUUAACCGAAUAGGGGAGCCGAAGGGAAACCGAGUCUUAACUGGGCGUUAAGUUGCAGGGUAUAGACCCGAAACCCGGUGAUCUAGCCAUGGGCAGGUUGAAGGUUGGGUAACACUAACUGGAGGACCGAACCGACUAAUGUUGAAAAAUUAGCGGAUGACUUGUGGCUGGGGGUGAAAGGCCAAUCAAACCGGGAGAUAGCUGGUUCUCCCCGAAAGCUAUUUAGGUAGCGCCUCGUGAAUUCAUCUCCGGGGGUAGAGCACUGUUUCGGCAAGGGGGUCAUCCCGACUUACCAACCCGAUGCAAACUGCGAAUACCGGAGAAUGUUAUCACGGGAGACACACGGCGGGUGCUAACGUCCGUCGUGAAGAGGGAAACAACCCAGACCGCCAGCUAAGGUCCCAAAGUCAUGGUUAAGUGGGAAACGAUGUGGGAAGGCCCAGACAGCCAGGAUGUUGGCUUAGAAGCAGCCAUCAUUUAAAGAAAGCGUAAUAGCUCACUGGUCGAGUCGGCCUGCGCGGAAGAUGUAACGGGGCUAAACCAUGCACCGAAGCUGCGGCAGCGACACUAUGUGUUGUUGGGUAGGGGAGCGUUCUGUAAGCCGUUGAAGGUGUGCUGUGAGGCAUGCUGGAGGUAUCAGAAGUGCGAAUGCUGACAUAAGUAACGAUAAAGCGGGUGAAAAGCCCGCUCGCCGGAAGACCAAGGGUUCCUGUCCAACGUUAAUCGGGGCAGGGUGAGUCGACCCCUAAGGCGAGGCCGAAAGGCGUAGUCGAUGGGAAACAGGUUAAUAUUCCUGUACUUGGUGUUACUGCGAAGGGGGGACGGAGAAGGCUAUGUUGGCCGGGCGACGGUUGUCCCGGUUUAAGCGUGUAGGCUGGUUUUCCAGGCAAAUCCGGAAAAUCAAGGCUGAGGCGUGAUGACGAGGCACUACGGUGCUGAAGCAACAAAUGCCCUGCUUCCAGGAAAAGCCUCUAAGCAUCAGGUAACAUCAAAUCGUACCCCAAACCGACACAGGUGGUCAGGUAGAGAAUACCAAGGCGCUUGAGAGAACUCGGGUGAAGGAACUAGGCAAAAUGGUGCCGUAACUUCGGGAGAAGGCACGCUGAUACGUAGGUGAAGUCCCUCGCGGAUGGAGCUGAAAUCAGUCGAAGAUACCAGCUGGCUGCAACUGUUUAUUAAAAACACAGCACUGUGCAAACACGAAAGUGGACGUAUACGGUGUGACGCCUGCCCGGUGCCGGAAGGUUAAUUGAUGGGGUCAGCGCAAGCGAAGCUCUUGAUCGAAGCCCCGGUAAACGGCGGCCGUAACUAUAACGGUCCUAAGGUAGCGAAAUUCCUUGUCGGGUAAGUUCCGACCUGCACGAAUGGCGUAAUGAUGGCCAGGCUGUCUCCACCCGAGACUCAGUGAAAUUGAACUCGCUGUGAAGAUGCAGUGUACCCGCGGCAAGACGGAAAGACCCCGUGAACCUUUACUAUAGCUUGACACUGAACAUUGAGCCUUGAUGUGUAGGAUAGGUGGGAGGCUUUGAAGUGUGGACGCCAGUCUGCAUGGAGCCGACCUUGAAAUACCACCCUUUAAUGUUUGAUGUUCUAACGUGGACCCGUGAUCCGGGUUGCGGACAGUGUCUGGUGGGUAGUUUGACUGGGGCGGUCUCCUCCCAAAGAGUAACGGAGGAGCACGAAGGUUGGCUAAUCCUGGUCGGACAUCAGGAGGUUAGUGCAAUGGCAUAAGCCAGCUUGACUGCGAGCGUGACGGCGCGAGCAGGUGCGAAAGCAGGUCAUAGUGAUCCGGUGGUUCUGAAUGGAAGGGCCAUCGCUCAACGGAUAAAAGGUACUCCGGGGAUAACAGGCUGAUACCGCCCAAGAGUUCAUAUCGACGGCGGUGUUUGGCACCUCGAUGUCGGCUCAUCACAUCCUGGGGCUGAAGUAGGUCCCAAGGGUAUGGCUGUUCGCCAUUUAAAGUGGUACGCGAGCUGGGUUUAGAACGUCGUGAGACAGUUCGGUCCCUAUCUGCCGUGGGCGCUGGAGAACUGAGGGGGGCUGCUCCUAGUACGAGAGGACCGGAGUGGACGCAUCACUGGUGUUCGGGUUGUCAUGCCAAUGGCACUGCCCGGUAGCUAAAUGCGGAAGAGAUAAGUGCUGAAAGCAUCUAAGCACGAAACUUGCCCCGAGAUGAGUUCUCCCUGACUCCUUGA